CGGAGGGUGCAAGCGCUAUCCGGAUUCACUGGGUUUAAAGGGUGCGUAGGUGGGCUGAUAAGUCAGUGGUGAAAUCUCUAGGCUUAACCUGGAAACUGCCAUUGAUACUAUCGGUCUUGAAUCUCGCGUAGGUAAGCGGAAUAUGUCAUGUAGCGGUGAAAUGCUUAGAUAUGACAUAGAACACCAAUUGCGAAGGCAGCUUACUUCACGAGUAUUGACACUGAGGCACGAAAGCGUGGGGAGCAAACAGGAUUAGAUACCCUGGUAGUCCACGCCCUAAACGAUGGAUACUCGACAUCAGCGAUACACUGUUGGUGUCUGAGCGAAAGCAUUAAGUAUCCCACCUGGGAAGUACGACCGCAAGGUUG
This 368-nucleotide ribosomal RNA is filed under the name uncultured organism. RNAcentral describes it as "bacterial SSU rRNA". It matches the Rfam family "Bacterial small subunit ribosomal RNA", at positions 526 to 896 of the family's 1533-position model. The record is from RNAcentral.